This 1050-nucleotide ribosomal RNA is filed under the name Virgibacillus sp. Its description in RNAcentral is "bacterial SSU rRNA". It matches the Rfam family "Bacterial small subunit ribosomal RNA", at positions 54 to 1070 of the family's 1533-position model. Lineage: Bacteria; Bacillati; Bacillota; Bacilli; Caryophanales; Bacillaceae. The record is from RNAcentral.
CAUGCAAGUCGAGCGCGGGAAGCAGGCAGAUCCUCUUCGGAGGUGACGCUUGUGGAACGAGCGGCGGACGGGUGAGUAACACGUGGGCAACCUGCCUGUAAGAUUGGGAUAACCCCGGGAAACCGGGGCUAAUACCGGAUAAUACUUUUCGUUGCAUAACGAGAAGUUGAAAGGCGGCUUUUAGCUGUCACUUACAGAUGGGCCCGCGGCGCAUUAGCUAGUUGGUAAGGUAACGGCUUACCAAGGCGACGAUGCGUAGCCGACCUGAGAGGGUGAUCGGCCACACUGGGACUGAGACACGGCCCAGACUCCUACGGGAGGCAGCAGUAGGGAAUCUUCCGCAAUGGACGAAAGUCUGACGGAGCAACGCCGCGUGAGUGAUGAAGGUUUUCGGAUCGUAAAACUCUGUUGUCAGGGAAGAACAAGUGCCGUUCAAAUAGGGCGGCACCUUGACGGUACCUGACCAGAAAGCCCCGGCUAACUACGUGCCAGCAGCCGCGGUAAUACGUAGGGGGCAAGCGUUGUCCGGAAUUAUUGGGCGUAAAGCGCGCGCAGGCGGUCCUUUAAGUCUGAUGUGAAAGCCCACGGCUUAACCGUGGAGGGCCAUUGGAAACUGGAGGACUUGAGUACAGAAGAGGAGAGUGGAAUUCCACGUGUAGCGGUGAAAUGCGUAGAGAUGUGGAGGAACACCAGUGGCGAAGGCGACUCUCUGGUCUGUAACUGACGCUGAGGUGCGAAAGCGUGGGGAGCGAACAGGAUUAGAUACCCUGGUAGUCCACGCCGUAAACGAUGAGUGCUAGGUGUUAGGGGGUUUCCGCCCCUUAGUGCUGAAGUUAACGCAUUAAGCACUCCGCCUGGGGAGUACGGCCGCAAGGCUGAAACUCAAAAGAAUUGACAGGGGCCCGCACAAGCGGUGGAGCAUGUGGUUUAAUUCGAAGCAACGCGAAGAACCCUUACCAGUCUUGACAUCCUCUGCCAAUCCUAGAGAUAGGAUGUUCCCUUCGGGACAAAAGUGACAGUGGUGCAUGGUGUCGUCAGCUCGUGUCGUGA